Molecule: ribosomal RNA, 468 nt
Filed under: uncultured bacterium
Lineage: Bacteria
Description: partial 16S ribosomal RNA
Rfam family: Bacterial small subunit ribosomal RNA
Source: RNAcentral
GACGAACGCUGGCGGCGUGCUUAACACAUGCAAGUCGAACGGAAAGGCCCUGCUUUUGUGGGGUGCUCGAGUGGCGAACGGGUGAGUAACACGUGAGUAACCUGCCCUUGACUUUGGGAUAACUUCAGGAAACUGGGGCUAAUACCGGAUAGGAGCUCCUGCUGCAUGGUGGGGGUUGGAAAGUUUCGGCGGUUGGGGCUGGACUCGCGGCUUAUCAGCUUGUUGGUGGGGUAGUGGCUUACCAAGGCUUUGACGGGUAGCCGGCCUGAGGGGGUGGCCGGCCACAUUGGGACUGAGAUACGGCCCAGACUCCUACGGGAGGCAGCAGUGGGGAAUAUUGCACAAUGGGCGGAAGCCUGAUGCAGCAACGCCGCGUGCGGGAUGACGGCCUUCGGGUUGUAAACCGCUUUCGCCUGUGACGAAGCGUUAGUGACGGUAAUGGGUAAAGAAGCACCGGCUAACUACGUG